This is a long non-coding RNA of Loxodonta africana (African savanna elephant), 320 nucleotides long. RefSeq lists it as uncharacterized. The transcript has 3 exons. The record is from RefSeq and is a predicted model, not a curated record. NCBI's taxonomy places the organism in Eukaryota, Metazoa, Chordata, Mammalia, Proboscidea, Elephantidae.
UUAUGUUUCUUAUUGUAGCACCUUUUCUGCUGCUGUGACAGCUCUGCAAGGAGUGCAACAGACCACAGCAAGGGCUGACUUUGGUGUACCUGAGUAGGACAGCCUGCUGCUCUACACUCAGAUCUGUGGAAAAGGAUGUCAGUGAAGAAGAUCCUCGGGGUUGUCCAGAUCCUGAUUGGCUUGAUAAACCUCACCUUGGGAAUAACGAUGAUGUCUGUCUCAUUGCCAUCUGAUGGACCAAAACCCACUUCAGUAUACACAGCUUACACAAUAUGGGGGUCAGUAGUGUUUAUUGUUUCAGGGGCCUGGUUAAUUACAGA